UACAGAGGUCUCAAGCGUUGUUCGGAUUCAUUGGGCGUAAAGGGUGCGUAGGUGGCGGGGUAAGUCAGGUGUGAAAUUUCGGAGCUCAACUCCGAAACUGCAUUUGAUACUGCCUUGCUUGAGGACUGGAGAGGAGACUGGAAUUCACGGUGUAGCAGUGAAAUGCGUAGAUAUCGUGAGGAAGACCAGUGGCGAAGGCGGGUCUCUGGACAGUAACUGACGCUGAGGAGCGAAAGCGUGGGGAGCGAACAGG
RNAcentral lists this ribosomal RNA (253 nucleotides) under uncultured bacterium. RNAcentral's name for it is "partial 16S ribosomal RNA". It matches the Rfam family "Bacterial small subunit ribosomal RNA", at positions 524 to 776 of the family's 1533-position model. The record is from RNAcentral.